AACAGGAUUAGAUACCCUGGUAGUCCACGCCCUAAACGAUGUCUACUAGUUGUCGGGUCUUAAUUGACUUGGUAACGCAGCUAACGCGUGAAGUAGACCGCCUGGGGAGUACGGUCGCAAGAUUAAAACUCAAAGGAAUUGACGGGGACCCGCACAAGCGGUGGAUGAUGUGGAUUAAUUCGAUGCAACGCGAAAAACCUUACCUACCCUUGACAUGGAUGGAAUCCCGAAGAGAUUUGGGAGUGCUCGAAAGAGAACCAUCACACAGGUGCUGCAUGGCUGUCGUCAGCUCGUGUCGUGAGAUGUUGGGUUAAGUCCCGCAACGAGCGCAACCCUUGUCAUUAGUUGCUACGAAAGGGCACUCUAAUGAGACUGCCGGUGACAAACCGGAGGAAGGUGGGGAUGACGUCAAGUCCUCAUGGCCCUUAUGGGUAGGGCUUCACACGUCAUACAAUGGUACAUACAGAGGGCCGCCAACCCGCGAGGGGGAGCUAAUCCCAGAAAGUGUAUCGUAGUCCGGAUUGGAGUCUGCAACUCGACUCCAUGAAGUUGGAAUCGCUAGUAAUCGCGGAUCAGCAUGUCGCGGUGAAUACGUUCCCGGGUCUUGUACACACCGCCCGUCACACCAUGGGAGCGGGUUUUACCAGAAGUGGGUAGCCUAACCGUAAGGAGGGCGCUCACCACGGUAGGAUUCGUGACUGGGGUGAAGUCGUAACAAGGUAACC
This 725-nucleotide ribosomal RNA is filed under the name uncultured bacterium. RNAcentral's name for it is "bacterial SSU rRNA". It matches the Rfam family "Bacterial small subunit ribosomal RNA", at positions 771 to 1501 of the family's 1533-position model. The record is from RNAcentral.